AAACCGUCGUUAGGGCUCCUUUCCCCCGGGUGCCGGAUUCCGGCCGCCGGCCGCACUCCAGCUCGGAAAGGGCUUGAAUAGUGCACUUCCGGUCAGCUCCCCGGUGCUGUCUGGGAGAUGUAGUUCGGUGGAGAACCAGGCCGGAAGUGCUCCCGUGGCCGGCGCGGGGCGGGGCGGAGCAGCGAUGGCGGCGCUGCGGCCAGCGGAGGAGCUGGGGCUGCGGGCGGGCGACACGGAGGAGGAGGAGGGCACGCCCCCGGGGCGCGGAGAGGAGCAGCCGCUGAACCUGGGGGACCUGGACCUCACCUCGGACGAGUUCAUCCUGGACGAAGUGGACAUUCACAUCCAAGCCAACCUUGAGGACGCCCUGGUGCAGGAGGCGCUGAAGACGGGCGUGGACCUCCGGCAGUACUCCAAGCAGGUGGAGCUGGAACUGCAGCAGAAUGAGCAUGCCUCCAUCCGGGACUACAUCAAAGAGAGCAAGAACAUUGCCUCCCUGCACAACCAGAUCACUGCCUGUGACACCAUCUUGGAGCGCAUGGAGCAAAUGCUGAGCACCUUCCAGUGCGACCUGAGUAGCAUCAGCUCGGAGAUCCAGACAUUGCAGGAGCAGUCAGUGGCCAUGAACCUGCGCCUCAAGAACCGCCAGGCUGUGCGCAGCCAGCUCAGCCAGCUGGUCGAUGAGCUUGUUGUGCCCGCCAACAUGAUCAGUACCAUCCUGGAGGCGCCGGUAACGGAGCAGGAGUUCCUAGAGCAGCUGCACGAGCUCAACAACAAGAUUAACUACGUGAAGGAGCAGGCCUUCCGUGAGACAAUGGCCUGUGCCGAUGUGCAGCACGUGUUGGAGAAGCUCAAGGUCAAGGCAGUGACCAAGAUCCGGGAGUUCAUCCUGCAGAAGAUCUACUCCUUCCGCAAGCCCAUGACCAACUACCAGAUUCCCCAGAAUGCUCUGCUCAAGUACAGGUUCUUCUACCAGUUCUUGCUAGGGAACGAGCGGGCGGUGGCACAGGAGUUGCGGGAGCAGUACGUGGAGACCAUGAGCAAGAUCUAUCUGUCCUACUUCAAGUCCUACACCAGCCGCCUCAUGAAGAUCCAGUAUGAAGAGGUGGCUGACAAAGAUGACCUGAUGGGCGUGGAGGACACGGCGAAAAAGGGCUUCUUCUCCAAGCCAUCGCUGAAGAAUCGCAACACCAUCUUCACACUGGGCAAUCGGGGCAGUGUCAUCGGGGCGGCCGAGCUGGAGGGGCCCAUCAUCGUGCCACACACGGCCCAGAAGAGUGAUGUCCGUUACCCCUUCGAGUCGCUGUUCCGCAGCCAGCACUACGCUCUGCUGGACAACAGCUGCCGCGAGUACCUCUUCCUCUGCGACUUCUUCAUGGUGACGGGGCCCAGCGCCCAAGACCUCUUCAACACUGUCAUGGGCAAGACCCUUGCCAUGUUCCUGAAACACAUGGAUGCCUACGUGUGCGACUGCUAUGACAGCAUCGCUGUCUUCCUGUGCAUCCACAUCGUCCUGCGCUUCAAGGCCAUCAUGGCCAAGCGCAACAUCCCGGCUGUUGACAAGUACUGGGACACGCUGCUGGAGAUCCUGUGGCCGCGCUUUGAGUACAUCCUGGAGCUGAACAUCCAGAGCAUCCAGAACAUGGACCCCCAGAAGCUGGGCUUCCUUGACACACGCCCCCUCUAUAUCACGCGGCGCUACGCAGAGUUCUCCUCUGCCAUCGUCAGCAUCAACCAGACCUUCCCCAAUGAGCGGACCCACGCCCUGCUGGGGCAGCUGCAGGUGGAGGUGGAGAACUUCGUGCUGCGGGUGGCGGCAGAGUUCUCGUCACGCAAGGAGCAGCUUAUCUUCCUCAUCAACAACUAUGACAUGAUGCUGAGUGUCCUUAUGGAGCGGGCAGUGGAGGAAAGCAAGGAGGUAGAGGGCUUUCAGCAGCUACUCUCAGCCCGGACUCAGGAGUUCAUCGAGGAGAUCCUGUCACCCCCUUUUGGCGGGAUGAUCGCCUUCGUCAAGGAGUCAGAAGCUCUCAUCGAGAAGGGGCAGCUGGACCGGCUCCGCGGGGAGGAGGCCCGUGUAACCCAGCUGGUGCGGGGCUUCGCUAGCACGUGGAAGACCUCUGUGGAGUCUCUGAGCCAGGACGUCAUGAGAUCUUUCAGCAACUUCAAGAACGGCACUAGCAUUAUUCAGGGGGCACUCACGCAGCUGAUCCAGUACUACCACCGCUUCCACAAGGUGCUGUCACAGCCUCCCCUGCGUGCCCUGCCUGCCCGUGCCGACCUCAUCAACAUCCACCACCUCAUGGUUGAGCUGAAGAAACACAAGCCCAACUUCUAGGGCCCCUGCCCAACGCAGCACAUGGAGGGUAGAGCAGCUGUUCCCAGCACAGAAUGGUCCAGCCCUUUCUUAUUGGCAAACCACCCCAUGUAGCAUCACCCAUGAAUCUCAUGGAGGACACGUUUCAUCCCAGUACCAAGGCCACCAAUGAAAGUGUUAAUCAGGAUAUGGUCCUAUGAUGGAUCCCCAAGGAACACCAGCUCUCCAGGCUGACAGAAUCAGAAAAACAGGACUGACAGGGAUCACAGGUAGCCCAAGGCAGGAACAGCCCUGUCUACACUAUCCCAGCUGAGGGACUGUCUAACCUGUUGUUAAAAACCUCCCACGAUGGACACUGUGCAACCUAAUACAUCUGUGCCAACACUGAGCCACCCUUGGAGUCAGGUCUUCCCUAAUACCCAGCCUAGAUCACCCUUGUUGCCAGUUCAAACCAUUACUUCCUGGGUCCAUAGAGAACACCUCCAUGCUCUUUGUUUGCAAAUAUCUAGUUGGUCUAAUAAAAAAGAUAUAAUUUCUUC
RNA transcript from Alligator mississippiensis (American alligator), 2853 nucleotides. It is a transcript of the gene named VPS52 subunit of GARP complex, with no coding region annotated. NCBI's taxonomy places the organism in Eukaryota, Metazoa, Chordata, Crocodylia, Alligatoridae. The transcript has 21 exons. The record is from RefSeq and is a predicted model, not a curated record.